Molecule: long non-coding RNA, 766 nt
Organism: Oncorhynchus tshawytscha (Chinook salmon)
Lineage: Eukaryota; Metazoa; Chordata; Actinopteri; Salmoniformes; Salmonidae
Source: Ensembl
AGUGGUUAGAGUGGAGGGUCGGCAGGUAGUCUACUGGUUAGAGUGUUGGGCCAGUAACCAGCAGGUAGCCUAGUGGUUAGAGCGUUGGGCCAGUAACCAGCAGGUAGCCUAGUGGUUAGAGCGUUGGGCCAGUAACCAGCAGGUAGCCUAGUGGUUAGAGCGUUGGGCCAGUAACCAGCAGGUAGCCUAGUGGUUAGAGCGUUGGGCCAGUAACCAGCAGGUAGCCUAGUGGUUAGAGCAUUGGGCCAGUAAACAGCAGGUAGCCUAGUGGUUAGAGCGUUGGGCCAGUAACCAGCAGGUAGCCUAGUGGUUAGAGCGUUGGGCCAGUAACCAGCAGGUAGCCUAGUGGUUAGAGCGUUGGGCCAGUAACCAGCAGGUAGCCUAGUGGUUAGAGCAUUGGGCCAGUAACCAGCAGGUAGCCUAGUGGUUAGAGCGUUGGGCCAGUAACCAGCAGGUAGCCUAGUGGUUAGAGCGUUGGGCCAGUAACCAGCAGGUAGCCUAGUGGUUAGAGCAUUGGGCCAGUAACCAGCAGGUAGCCUAGUGGUUAGAGCAUUGGGCCAGUAACCAGCAGGUAGCCUAGUGGUUAGAGCGUUGGGCCAGUAACCAGCAGGUAGCCUAGUGGUUAGAGCGUUGGGCCAGUAACCAGCAGGUAGCCUAGUGGUUAGAGCAUUGGGCCAGUAACCAGCAGGUAGCCUAGUGGUUAGAGCGUUGGGCCAGUAACCAGCAGGUAGUCUAGUGGUUAGAGCGUUGGGCCAGUAACCAGCAG